AGAGUUUGAUCAUGGCUCAGAUUGAACGCUGGCGGAAUGCUUUACACAUGCAAGUCGAACGAUGAACCCUAGCUUGCUAGGGGGAUUAGUGGCGAACGGGUGAGUAAUAUAUCGGAACGUGCCUUGUAAUGGGGGAUAACUAGUCGAAAGAUUAGCUAAUACCGCAUACGCCCUGAGGGGGAAAGUAGGGGAUCUUCGGACCUUACGUUAUAAGAGCGGCCGAUAUCUGAUUAGCUAGUUGGUGGGGUAAUGGCCUACCAAGGCGACGAUCAGUAGCUGGUCUGAGAGGACGACCAGCCACACUGGAACUGAGACACGGUCCAGACUCCUACGGGAGGCAGCAGUGGGGAAUUUUGGACAAUGGGCGCAAGCCUGAUCCAGCCAUUCCGCGUGAGUGAAGAAGGCCUUCGGGUUGUAAAGCUCUUUCGCAAGGGAAGAAAACUUACCAUCGAAUAAAUGGUGAGGCUGACGGUACCUUGAUAAGAAGCACCGGCUAACUACGUGCCAGCAGCCGCGGUAAUACGUAGGGUGCGAGCGUUAAUCGGAAUUACUGGGCGUAAAGCGUGCGCAGGCGGUUUGGCAAGUCAGAUGUGAAAUCCCCGAGCUCAACUUGGGAACUGCGUUUGAACUGCCAGACUAGAAUAUGUCAGAGGGGGGUAGAAUUCCACGUGUAGCAGUGAAAUGCGUAGAGAUGUGGAGGAAUA
This 704-nucleotide ribosomal RNA is filed under the name uncultured bacterium. RNAcentral describes it as "bacterial SSU rRNA". It matches the Rfam family "Bacterial small subunit ribosomal RNA", at positions 8 to 708 of the family's 1533-position model. The record is from RNAcentral.